CAGCCGCCGCGGUAAUACGAAGGGUGCAAGCGUUACUCGGAAUUACUGGGCGUAAAGCGUGCGUAGGUGGUGGUUUAAGUCCGUUGUGAAAGUCCUGGGCUCAACCUGGGAAUUACAGUGGAUACUGGGUCACUAGAGUGUGGUAGAGGAUAGUGGAAUUUCCGGUGUAGCAGUGAAAUGCGUAGAGAUCGGAAGGAACAUCUGUGGCGAAGGCGACUAUCUGGGCCAACACUGACACUGAGGCACGAAAGCGUGGGGAGCAAACAGGAUUAGAGACCCGCGUAGUCCCUGUCUCUUAUAC
This 301-nucleotide ribosomal RNA is filed under the name uncultured bacterium. RNAcentral's name for it is "partial 16S ribosomal RNA". It matches the Rfam family "Bacterial small subunit ribosomal RNA", at positions 509 to 807 of the family's 1533-position model. The record is from RNAcentral.